This is a non-coding RNA of Danio rerio (zebrafish), 345 nucleotides long. Lineage: Eukaryota; Metazoa; Chordata; Actinopteri; Cypriniformes; Danionidae. The record is from Ensembl.
GCUAGAGUCUGUAGUUGAGCUGUUAUUACAUCCCUCAGCAUCCUUUCACCUUAUUCCCUUCCAGCGGUCACUGCAUGUGUAAAGCUUGCAUUUCAGCAUGAUUUCUGGACAUUAUUUGUGCAUAUUAUAAUUGCACCCGCAUUUAUUCAGGAAGAUAAGUUUCAGAGUGUGGGGUCCUCUCAUUUGGCUUGUGGGAUCUCAUGGGCAGUGUGCUGGCUCUGUCAACCCGCCCCGGGCGUCAAAACUCCCCUUUUCCACAAGAUAGACCCUUAUCACGAUGGGAUAGGAGAGAUGGAAGGCUGCCUAACCCAGGAAGCUUUGAUGGUCUGCACCGCAAUUGUAAAG